This 424-nucleotide ribosomal RNA is filed under the name uncultured bacterium. Its description in RNAcentral is "bacterial SSU rRNA". It matches the Rfam family "Bacterial small subunit ribosomal RNA", at positions 355 to 796 of the family's 1533-position model. The record is from RNAcentral.
UGGGGAAUCUUGCACAAUGGGGGAAACCCUGAUGCAGCGACGCCGCGUGAGCGAUGAAGCCCUUCGGGGUGUAAAGCUCUUUCGGCAGGGACGAUUAUGACGGUACCUGCAGAAGCAGCUGCGGCUAACUACGUGCCAGCAGCCGCGGUAAUACGUAGGCAGCAAGCGUUGUUCGGAGUUACUGGGCGUAAAGGGUGUGUAGGUGGCCCUCUAAGUUCCGUGUGAAAUCUCCCGGCUUAACCGGGAGGGUGCGCGGAAAACUGGAAGGCUAGAGUGCGGGAUGGGAGAGUAGAAUUCCUGGUGUAGCGGUGAAAUGCGUAGAUAUCAGGAGGAAUACCAGUGGUGUAGACGGCUCUCUGGACCGUAACUGACACUGAGACACGAAAGCGUGGGUAGCAAACAGGAUUAGAUACCCCCGUAGUCC